CCCAGCACAGAGCAGAGUAGAACAGAGUAGGAUUGGAGCUGAGAGAUAGUAAGUAAAUAGGCAGCAGAAAUAUGUCAAGCAACAAUACCCCAUGUCAGCAUUUUACCUAUGGAUGGCAUUUUCUAUUUUCGGUGACGGACUAUGAGCCAGGAUAAACACAUUACUCUCUUCUUUAACAAAAAGAGCAUGGUUAACUCCAAAGACUUCUCUAGACCAGCCUGGAUGGUACCUAAACUUUAAUCAACCAAUGCUCAAGUAAAAGAGCAGUAUCCAGCCCCAGCACACCUAACUGUUUUGCAUAACAUAGUCUCUGAUUUCAGGAGCAGAAGAAAAUAUAUAAGAAGAGAUUUACCUGGGUAACGGUUAAGUUUCCCAAUCUCCAUCGUACAUAAUAUCGAAUAGGAAUCACAAGUGUGUAGAGGACAUGAAGGAAGGCAAAUCCCAGAGCUACCAAGCCAAGCUGCUUUCGGCAAAGCAUCCAGUGGUCAAGCCAGUCUGGGAAUCGACGGUAUUUUGUGCCUCGGUACAGUUGUAGAAUGGCAGCAAUAACACCAGGGAGGUAAACCAAAGCAAGCAGUUGCUCCUGACUGGAGAGCCCAGGCUGAGAUGGUGUUAAAUGCUUUUACCACGUGGGCUCCUGGCACCAAAUGAGCAAGAUCUCACCCCACAGGCCUUGGAAACCUGAGGCAGUAUUCUUCUGGGAUGUUUCCAACUAGGCUUCCCAUGAGGAUGUUAGAGCCAGCCUGGCUGGUGAAUUUUACUUCUCUCACCUCUCAGAGGUAAGAGGUCUGAGAGGCUCAGGCCCUUCCAGCUUUUGAGGA
This 821-nucleotide long non-coding RNA is filed under the name Homo sapiens (human). RNAcentral describes it as "SRI antisense RNA 1". Lineage: Eukaryota; Metazoa; Chordata; Mammalia; Primates; Hominidae. The record is from RNAcentral.